RNAcentral lists this ribosomal RNA (383 nucleotides) under uncultured eukaryote. RNAcentral describes it as "partial 18S ribosomal RNA". It matches the Rfam family "Eukaryotic small subunit ribosomal RNA", at positions 592 to 976 of the family's 1831-position model. The record is from RNAcentral.
CAAUAGCGUAUAUUGAAGUUGUUGCAGUUAAAAAGCUCGUAGUUGGAUUUCUGGUGGGAGCGAUCGGUCUGGCGCUUAGCGCGAGUACUUGCAUCGUCUCCGGCCAUCCUUGGGGAGAGUCUGUCUGGCAUUAAGUUGUCGGGCAGAGGAUCCUCAUCGUUUACUGUGAAAAAAUUAGAGUGUUCAAAGCAGGCUUAUGCCGUUGAAUAUAUUAGCAUGGAAUAAUAAGAUAGGACUUUGGUACUAUUUUGUUGGUUUGCGCACCAAAGUAAUGAUUAAUAGGAACAGUUGGGGGUAUUCGUAUUCCGUUGUCAGAGGUGAAAUUCUUGGAUUUACGGAAGACGAACUACUGCGAAAGCAUUUACCAAGGAUGUUUUCAUUAA